AUUGAACGCUGGCGGCAUGCCUAACACAUGCAAGUCGAGCGCGCGGCAGGCGUGUGAGUAAUGUAUGGAGAUCUCCCUUAUGGGGGGGGAUACCUCCGGGAAACGGUAGCUAUUACCGCAUACCAUCAGCUGACCCCAUGUGGUAUUAGCUUGUAGGUGGGGUAACGGGUAACCUAGGCGACGAUCCCUAGCUGGUCUGAGAGGAUGAUCAGCCACACUGGGACGGAGACACGGCCCAGACUCCUACGGGAGGCAGCAGUGGGGAAUAGUGCACAAUGGGCGCAAGCCUGACGCAGCAAUGCCGCGUGGAUGAAGAAGGUCUUCGGGUUGUAAAGUUCUUUCGGUAGAGAGGCGGUAACUAAAGAAGAAGCACCGGCUAACUACGUGCCAGCAGCCGCGGUAAUAC
RNAcentral lists this ribosomal RNA (406 nucleotides) under uncultured bacterium. Its description in RNAcentral is "partial 16S ribosomal RNA". It matches the Rfam family "Bacterial small subunit ribosomal RNA", at positions 30 to 526 of the family's 1533-position model. The record is from RNAcentral.